GAAGAUAUCAGUCCAAGAAUCAAAUUAUAGUUGCACGUUACCAUCUAGAUUCUUGAAAAAAAUAAUUCAUUCACAACACAAAUAUUAUCAUGAUUAUCCAUGAUUGACUCAUAUUGAGUGAGCAACAAGUUGUAUAUCUACUACAUGCGUCAUCACAGGUCCAUAUAGGUUCCACCAUAUGUUCCAUCAUAGACUCCAUCACAAGUUCCAUCUCAUACUCCACCA
This 225-nucleotide long non-coding RNA is filed under the name Vigna radiata. RNAcentral's name for it is "long non-coding RNA (VRAD_LNC003012)". Lineage: Eukaryota; Viridiplantae; Streptophyta; Magnoliopsida; Fabales; Fabaceae. The record is from RNAcentral.